GGGCCCAUAGCUCAGUGGUUAGAGCUUCCGGCUCAUAACUGGCAGGUCGCUGGUUCGAUCCCAGCUGGGCCCA
This 73-nucleotide transfer RNA is filed under the name Chloroflexota bacterium. Its description in RNAcentral is "tRNA-Ile". It matches the Rfam family "tRNA". Rfam says of the family: Transfer RNA (tRNA) molecules are approximately 80 nucleotides in length. Their secondary structure includes four short double-helical elements and three loops (D, anti-codon, and T loops). Lineage: Bacteria; Bacillati; Chloroflexota. The record is from RNAcentral.